GCGGAGGCUUACCUGCAGUCGAGCGGAGUGAUGGUGCUUGCACUAUCACUUAGCGGCGGACGGGUGAGUAAUGCUUAGGAAUCUGCCUAUUAGUGGGGGACAACAUUUCGAAAGGAAUGCUAAUACCGCAUACGUCCUACGGGAGAAAGCAGGGGAUCUUCGGACCUUGCGCUAAUAGAUGAGCCUAAGUCGGAUUAGCUAGUUGGUGGGGUAAAGGCCUACCAAGGCGACGAUCUGUAGCGGGUCUGAGAGGAUGAUCCGCCACACUGGGACUGAGACACGGCCCAGACUCCUACGGGAGGCAGCAGUGGGGAAUAUUGGACAAUGGGCGCAAGCCUGAUCCAGCCAUGCCGCGUGUGUGAAGAAGGCCUUAUGGUUGUAAAGCACUUUAAGCGAGGAGGAGGCUACUGAAGUUAAUACCUUCAGAUAGUGGACGUUACUCGCAGAAUAAGCACCGGCUAACUCUGUGCCAGCAGCCGCGGUAAUACAGAGGGUGCAAGCGUUAAUCGGAUUUACUGGGCGUAAAGCGCGCGUAGGCGGCUAAUUAAGUCAAAUGUGAAAUCCCCGAGCUUAACUUGGGAAUUGCAUUCGAUACUGGUUAGCUAGAGUGUGGGAGAGGAUGGUAGAAUUCCAGGUGUAGCGGUGAAAUGCGUAGAGAUCUGGAGGAAUACCGAUGGCGAAGGCAGCCAUCUGGCCUAACACUGACGCUGAGGUGCGAAAGCAUGGGGAGCAAACAGGAUUAGAUACCCUGGUAGUCCAUGCCGUAAACGAUGUCUACUAGCCGUUGGGGCCUUUGAGGCUUUAGUGGCGCAGCUAACGCGAUAAGUAGACCGCCUGGGGAGUACGGUCGCAAGACUAAAACUCAAAUGAAUUGACGGGGGCCCGCACAAGCGGUGGAGCAUGUGGUUUAAUUCGAUGCAACGCGAAGAACCUUACCUGGCCUUGACAUAGUAAGAACUUUCCAGAGAUGGAUUGGUGCCUUCGGGAACUUACAUACAGGUGCUGCAUGGCUGUCGUCAGCUCG
This 1024-nucleotide ribosomal RNA is filed under the name Acinetobacter sp. RNAcentral describes it as "bacterial SSU rRNA". It matches the Rfam family "Bacterial small subunit ribosomal RNA", at positions 39 to 1062 of the family's 1533-position model. Lineage: Bacteria; Pseudomonadati; Pseudomonadota; Gammaproteobacteria; Moraxellales; Moraxellaceae. The record is from RNAcentral.